RNAcentral lists this ribosomal RNA (914 nucleotides) under Exophiala xenobiotica. RNAcentral's name for it is "LSU rRNA". It matches the Rfam family "Eukaryotic large subunit ribosomal RNA", at positions 38 to 965 of the family's 3401-position model. The record is from RNAcentral. Lineage: Eukaryota; Fungi; Ascomycota; Eurotiomycetes; Chaetothyriales; Herpotrichiellaceae.
GCAUAUCAAUAAGCGGAGGAAAAGAAACCAACAGGGAUUGCCUCAGUAACGGCGAGUGAAGCGGCAACAGCUCAAAUUUGAAAUCUGGCCUCUUUGGGGUCCGAGUUGUAAUUUGUAGAGGAUGUUUCGGGUACCGCCUCGGUCUAAAUUUCUUGGAACAGAAUGUCAAAGAGGGUGAGAAUCCCGUCUUGGACCGGCGGUAGGGCCCAUGUGAAACUCCUUCGACGAGUCGAGUUGUUUGGGAAUGCAGCUCAAAAUGGGUGGUAAAUUUCAUCUAAAGCUAAAUAUUGGCCAGAGACCGAUAGCGCACAAGUAGAGUGAUCGAAAGAUGAAAAGCACUUUGAAAAGAGAGUUAAACAGUAUGUGAAAUUGUUGAAAGGGAAGCGCUUGCAACCAGACUUGAGCGCGGCGGUUCCCCCUUCCUUUUGGUUGGGUUAUUCCGUCGUGUCCAGGCCAACAUCGGUUCCGGGGGUCGGUUAAAGGCUCGAGGAAUGUACCUACUCCUUCGGGGGUAGACUUAUAGCCUCGGGUGUCAUGCGACCUCCCGGGACCGAGGAACGCGCUUCGGCUCGGAUGUUGGCGUAAUGGUUGUCAGCGACCCGUCUUGAAACACGGACCAAGGAGUCUAACAUCUAUGCGAGUGUUUGGGUGUCAAACCCGGAACGCGGAAUGAAAGUGAACGGAGGUAGGAAGCCGUGAGGCUGCACUAUCGACCGAUCCUGAUGUCUUCGGAUGGAUUUGAGUAAGAGCAUAGCUGUUGGGACCCGAAAGAUGGUGAACUAUGCCUGAAUAGGGUGAAGCCAGAGGAAACUCUGGUGGAGGCUCGCAGCGGUUCUGACGUGCAAAUCGAUCGUCAAAUUUGGGUAUAGGGGCGAAAGACUAAUCGAACCAUCUGGUAGCUGGUUCCUGCCGAA